Molecule: ribosomal RNA, 328 nt
Filed under: uncultured Microbacterium sp.
Lineage: Bacteria; Bacillati; Actinomycetota; Actinomycetes; Micrococcales; Microbacteriaceae
Description: bacterial SSU rRNA
Rfam family: Bacterial small subunit ribosomal RNA
Source: RNAcentral
UCAUUAGGUUGGGCACUUUAACGAGACUGCCGGUGACAAACCGGAGGAAGGUGGGGAUGACGUCAAGUCCUCAUGGCCCUUAUGGGUAGGGCUUCACACGUCAUACAAUGGUCGGUACAGAGGGUUGCGAAGCCGCGAGGUGGAGCCAAUCCCAGAAAGCCGAUCGUAGUCCGGAUCGCAGGCUGCAACUCGCCUGCGUGAAGUCGGAAUCGCUAGUAAUCGUGGAUCAGCAUGUCACGGUGAAUACGUUCCCGGGUCUUGUACACACCGCCCGUCACACCAUGGGAGCGGGUCUCGCCAGAAGUAGGUAGCCUAACCGCAAGGAGGG